AUAGGAUACCUGAAACGUCUACAUCCACUCUCACCAUUCACAAUGUAGAGAAACAGGACAUAGCUACCUACUACUGUGCCUUGUGGGGAGUUGGGCAAAAAAAUCAAGGUAUUUGGUCCCGGAACAAAGCUUAUCAUUACAGAUAAACAACUUGAUGCAGAUGUUUCCCCCAAGCCCACUAUUUUUCUUCCUUCAAUUGCUGAAACAAAGC
This 211-nucleotide long non-coding RNA is filed under the name Homo sapiens (human). RNAcentral describes it as "non-protein coding lnc-AMPH-10:1". The record is from RNAcentral. Lineage: Eukaryota; Metazoa; Chordata; Mammalia; Primates; Hominidae.